GUGACACCCAAGAUGGCUACAAGGCAAGCAGGUCUUAUUUUUUCUCUCCAGGCAAGCAUCAGUUGAAAAGAAAAGGGCAUCAGCGAAAGACAGGCUGGCAAAGCAUAGGGAAAAAAUAUACAGCAAUCCAGUGUUACUUGAGGAGUACAGAAGAGAAGAGAGAGAGGUAUCGGAAACGUAAGGAAAAUGGUAAAAUUAAGACUACUCUGGACCUCACAAGUAGACAGCAUGAGAGAAAAAAAAUUAAAAUGGAGGGGAAAAAAGCAAGAGCAAGCACUUCUUAGAUCUAACCCCAGCAUCUUCUUUAAGUGAAUGAGCUGGGGGGAAACGUGAUUGGUACAAAGCACUCAUUCCAGUUGCUUGUUUUAGUUGUUUGACCAACUCAUAAAUUGAGUUGUUGCUAUUCAGGUUCUUCACAUGAAAUUAUUCUCAGAAAAAAGUUAUGUGGUUGAAUGUCAGGACCAAAGUUUUUUUAGCUAAACUAAACAAUUUUUUUUGAAGAGCACAUGAUGCUGUUACAUUUAAAUGUUCAAUGAUUCUUUAUGACUGUAACUUGACUGUAAACACAACACUUGUUAACGCAAGGCAUGGUACAGUGAUGAUUAGGAUAA
Esox lucius (northern pike) is the source of this 611-nucleotide long non-coding RNA. The record is from Ensembl. NCBI's taxonomy places the organism in Eukaryota, Metazoa, Chordata, Actinopteri, Esociformes, Esocidae.